Molecule: long non-coding RNA, 587 nt
Organism: Neofelis nebulosa (Clouded leopard)
Lineage: Eukaryota; Metazoa; Chordata; Mammalia; Carnivora; Felidae
Exons: 2
Source: RefSeq, a predicted model, not a curated record
AUGAAGAGCCCAGGGAAGAUGACUCCAGGCAGAGAGAAAAGCAAAUGUUAAGGUCCUGAGGUGGGAAAGAAAUUGUCGUGUUCCAGAUGCAGAAAGGAGGCUGAGUGAAGGGAAUAAGUGGAGUUGGUUAAAAAAGGUGGAUGGGAGCCAGGCUCAUGCAGCACCUUUUGGCCAAGGGAAGGCAUUCAACGGUGUUAUGCAAGAGAUAGCUUAGUGAUCGAUGUUGGAAAAGACCCCUCUGGCUUCUGUCUGCAGGGCGAGACUGAAAGCAGGACCUUCAGUCAGGAGGCUACUCCUGGCAUCCAAGCAAGUGAUGGUGGCAGAAUGGUGGAGAUGGAGGUCGAGAGAGGGCAGAUCGGAGAUCUAUUUUGGAGGAACCGGGGUGGCAGAGGAAGGGGCGAGCAUCUGGGUAUCGACAAAGAACACCUUAGGUGAUGUGAAGCAGAGAGACGUCAUCAUUUUGAAGACUGCAAUGGGAAACAAAAUCAUGACUAAUACUAUAAUAGUAGUAAACCAAGAAUGAAGAUUGAAUGCAGAGAACCAGUUUUUGGGGUUGAUCCAAUGAGAAAAGUCAUUGACAGCAUCAA